ACGUAUACAUAUGUAACUAACCUGCACAUUGUGCACAUGUACCCUAAAACUUAAAGUAUAAUAAUAAUUAAAAAAACCAAUAGUUUAUGAAACCCCCCCCAAAAAAAAUAUAUGCCAGUGGCCUCCAGUUGCCCACCAGGUAGCAUCCACAUUCUUUAAUGGAAAGCCCUUCCUUGCUUCGAACUUGCCAACUGGGAUUGGACAUUUGUAGUUGCAUUUCUAAGAACUGUUCCCUUUUGUCAAUGGAGCCUGAUUUCCACUUGGAUAUCUGGGUGAUUUAGGGAAACUGACCUCAAAACCCAAUUCUACAUUUCGACCAUGUGACCUUGGCUUAAUCAAUUCACGCAUCUUUUUCCCUCACCUCAGGGGAUGAUCAUAUGAACUAAGCCAGUUGCAAUAGAGUAAACCUCAUGUUCCUAAUGAGAAAUCCAGAACAAAAUGCUUUAUUUUUCUUCAAUUUUUUAUUAGGUCAUCUCCUGAAUCAAUUAAAAAAAAAACCAACAGUGACAACAAAACUAAAAAAUAUGAAGAAGCUGAAACAUGAAAGCUCUGCCAACUGCAAUAUGUAGCUGCUAAGGUUGCUGUAUUUAUUGGAAUCAAGCAAGUGUUCCAGUAAAGAGCACAGAAGAUGUGUCUGGGAGCCUUUAUGUAUAACACUAACAAAGUUGACCUUAGAAUUGGAGUGCCUGGGUUAGAACCCUGCUGGUACCACCUGCUUACUGCAUGCUUCUGAUGUGAGUUCAGGAGAAGACACUGGCAAGGACAGCAAAGAACAGGAGAACACUCUAGCUUCCCUGAUAGCAUUCAAGGUGCUGUCCAAACUGACUGUGAUGGCACCCUCCAGACAGACAGCGAUGCCACAUGUUCAAGAUGGCAGAAUCACUAUCAGCUUCAAUUCCUGAAUGACUGCAGAGCAAAAUUUCUUACCUGCAACAUACACUCUAUUUUCAGCCUCCCUGGACUGUUACAUAAUGAUACAUAAAAAUAUUUCUUGUGUUGAGGCAUCCCAAAUUUGAUUUAUUUGUCAUCACAGUCUAUCCUAUGAAUAUAUUUCUGAUCCAAAUAAUGCUAGAUUCAUGAGAGUUUAUAGUCCAGAGAUUUUUUUUUUUUUUUUGAGACAGAAUCUGUCUCCCAGGCUGGGGUGCAGUGGCAUAAUCUUAGCUCACUGCAACCUCUGCCUCCCGGGCUCAAGUGAUCCUCCCUCCUUAGCCUCCAUGAGUAGCUGGGACCACAGGUGUGCACCACCACACCCCGCUAAUUAUUUUGUAUUUUUUGCAGAGGGGGGUUUCACCACAUUGCCCAAGCUGGUCUCAAACUCCUAGACUUAAGGGAUCUGCCUGCCUUGGCCUCCCAAAAUGCUGAAAUUACACUUGUUAGCCAUAGUAAUAGUUCCUAGCCAUAGUCCGGAGAUAUUUUAAAAACUUUAGUGUGAGUUAUUUCUCUUUGCUAUAAUUCUCUCAUGCAUUUUGAAAACCUUUUCUGCCAUACAGUGGUUUUUGGGAAGUCCUUUUGGACAGACAUAUCACAGGAUGGAGAAACUAAAAAGAGAGAAUGCAUUAAAGAAAAAAUAGUACUUCGUAUUUCAGAAAUUACAAAAGGGUGUCAUGCCCCACAGCAUGGUGGGCAGUCAUUUGUAACCCACAGAACAUUGAGUUUCUAAAAUUUGAGUGUUUUUAACUUACGAAGGCCAACUUUACUGAUGAAGUGAUUACCCCAAAUAUGUGAAAUCCAUAUUUCAAGUACAAUAGUAGGAAAUUGGAAAUGGGCUCUUGAGUUUCUGCUUUCAAGUGACCCUCAGAAAUUCCUCCAUUCACUGCAGAGGUUCUGUUUCUCCUUGCUUUGUUCUGACUUUACGGCAGAACUAAGCUAAUGAGUUAGUUACUAUGGGUUAUCACUUGGAUUUGAAGAACCAUCAUUUCUAGGCAUUGCUGCUCAGAGUGACCUUGCCAUCGUAUCCCCUUUUGGAGACACAAGCCAGGAAGGAAGCUCUUCAGUGCAGCUGUGAAUAGAGAAAUGCUGGCUGAGGUUUUGGAGACACUGGGUGAUCAUUCCCAGUGAAAUUUUUAGAUCCCUGGGGACAUGAGCUGCUUUGUCUUUUCCAAGGCUGAAAAAGUUUUGGAAGCCCUCCUAAGCAGGUGCCAGACCCUUUUUUGGCCAGAGACAGGAUCUUACGCUGUUGCCCAGGCUGGAGUGCAAUAGUGUCAUCAUGGCUCACUGUAGCCUGGAACUGCUGGGCUCAAGGGAUCCUCCCAGCUCAGCCUCCCAAGUAGCUAGGAGUAAAGUCUGGAGAACACUUUUUCUUUUGAGCUGUUUACAACCUUUAGCAAUUGAGUAGAGUGUACUCUUGUCAAUAGAAUUUGAAGCACAUUUCUCUCUCUGCCUGAUUUCUGUAGAAUUUGUAAACUAUUUGUGAAUAUUCUUAAUUUAUGGCAAUAUGGUUGCUUACAUAAGUUCAAUAAUAAUCUGUUUUCUUUUACAAUGAGACACAGUUGGAGGAACUGGUUAUUUUCCCAGGGCUUUGACUGAAAUGGCCUUGUGAAUGGUUCCAGGAAAGCCAAUUUUGGAGACCCUAUGUGGAUGAUGAUGCUUGCUGUACUUUCUGUGGGUAAUCGGGCCAAGUAUAUGGGACUGAAGCUAAUUUUGCAGGUGAGAAAAUGGAGGUCCAGAGAGAAAAGUGACUCACCCAAGCUGAAAACAGUUGCAGGAAGAAAAGCCAGGACAGAACUGGGCUGUUAGAAACCUUGGAGUACACUAAAGAUGAGGAACUGAGUCACCGCAAUGCCAAAUGUAACACGCUGUGGGUCAAAAUUUGGAUGGUUGCGUUGGAAAUUAUUCUGAAGCCACAGACAGGGCUAAAAGAGUCUAGAAUGUCCUACUAGCUGUUGGAACCUGCUGGAGUUCUAAAGGCAUGCGAUGUCCUGAAUGUGCUUGACCAAUGGACACAGCAGGUAUUUGAAGAGUUUUGAUGCUUCCUUUCUGUUUUCAGUGCUAUUUUUUUGCUUUAUUUCUUUUAAAAAACUUUCCCCACAGAGGCUAUUUAUUACACAGCAGCAGCCAGCAUGCACCAAGCAGAACUGCUUUUCAUAAUAAACCUAUUUAUCUUCUGGCAUGUCAGAAAUUUCUCAAAUUGAUACUUAUAAUAAAUAUGAUUAAUAACACAUUGUA
This 3165-nucleotide long non-coding RNA is filed under the name Homo sapiens (human). RNAcentral describes it as "PREDICTED lncRNA (TCONS_00257621)". Lineage: Eukaryota; Metazoa; Chordata; Mammalia; Primates; Hominidae. The record is from RNAcentral.